GUAAAAGUCUUAUUUUUUACACUUAGCUCCAAAAAAAAAAAAAAGCUUUCUCCAAAAUUUCAAUUCAAUCUCAAAGUGUUUGAUUCCAUUGUGAAAUCUGAAUACCCAUUGCAUGAACUCUCGAUUCCUAUUGAAGAAAUCUCGAUUAUCAACACCACAAUCUCCAUCAAUUCUCCACUAUCCGUCUCUGUCUUUCUCCUUCUUUCUCUGUGGUUGUUUCUCAGAUCCGCCACCGUCUCUCUCCUCCAUCGCCAUAUCUCUCCGCCGCUGCCGUCUCUCUCCGUCUCUAUCUCUCUUCGACUCCGUUGAAGUAAUUGGGUUUUGGAUUUUUGUUUGUUGAUUUGAAUCGUGUUUCUUUCUUAUGUGAGGUUGGGUGUUUGACUUUCAAUCAGUGUUUUCGAUUGAUUUUUUUGUCUGAGUUUAGACUCUAUUUUUUCUGUAUCUUGAGAUAAUGCUUAGUGUGAAAAAGUUUAUUGCUCUCGUAUAUGCUAAUUUGGUUUCCUAGCUCUUGUCUCUAGUCCUUACCGGUCGCUGCCACUGCUCUCAUGAUUAUUGAUGUCUCAUGUUUCUUUUUCUGAUGUGUAGUUAGAUUUGUGGAUCUGUAGUUGCCGCUCUGUAGCUGUUCAGUACAAGAACUACAAGAAUCUUGAUUCCUAAUCUUCAAACUUCUUGUCCGUUCCUACCUUGUUCUUUUACUUGUACCACAAGAAGGAGAAACUCUCUGGCAACUUGCACAGAACUUUGUGAAGCUUUUCUUGUGCUCAGAUAGAGAUAAAGAAGAUAAAGCAACAAGUGAAGUGGUCUUGGAGCUGAGAUGAUUGGCACAUUCGUCCUUGUAUACACAGUCUUCUCAGCAACUGACGCCAAGAGAAACGCAUGUGACUCUCAUGUCCCCUGGCCAGUAAGAGUUGCUAAAUCUAAUUUGAUUAGGGUCAUCUCACAUUAUACAUGACAGUACUGUCCAUAUUUAAUUGAACAUCUUCUCUUAGUUGACAGAGGACAGUGAUUGAUGAUUCUUUGACAGCUAGUUCCAAAAUCGUUUCAAAAUCAUCACAUGCACAGACACAGGCAAAGACACCACCAGAGACCUCUGUAUCACAAUUAGGUUUAUUAUGUUUAGAAACUUUAAGACAAUUUUUUUGUUUAUUUUCAUGUGUAAGACUAUUUUGUUGGUAAUUAAAAUAAUUUCUAUUUUCA
This is a long non-coding RNA of Arabidopsis lyrata subsp. lyrata, 1197 nucleotides long. RefSeq lists it as uncharacterized. The record is from RefSeq and is a predicted model, not a curated record. Lineage: Eukaryota; Viridiplantae; Streptophyta; Magnoliopsida; Brassicales; Brassicaceae. The transcript has 6 exons.